Molecule: long non-coding RNA, 228 nt
Filed under: Elaeis guineensis (African oil palm)
Lineage: Eukaryota; Viridiplantae; Streptophyta; Magnoliopsida; Arecales; Arecaceae
Description: long non-coding RNA (EGUI_LNC026384)
Source: RNAcentral
CCUGGGCAUAUUUAUAUAUCUAAUCGAGCAUCUCAUCAUAGCUAUUCGAGAAGUUCUUAUUCAAAAAAAAAAAUCAGGUGGUUGCUCCGAAGUCUCCUUGUCAAAGCAGACAUGACAACUGAUUCAUUAAAAUUUUUUACCUCUAAGAUGGCCACAUUGAAAUGAGCCAUAUACUUCUGGAGAUCUUCUCCUUCCUACUACUAAACAGAGAAGAGACUAUCUACAUGC